CUGAUUUGUGGACUCAAAAACUUCACCCACCCCUUGUGGAGCAGCUUGGGAGAGAAGCUGUGGUCCUUCCUGUGCUGACAGACAGAGGGCAGCACUGCUCCCUACAUGCUGCCUGUGCUGCCAUCAGGUUUCCAGGCUGAGGACACAGAGCUGUAAUGUGGGACAUCAUGUACUGAACACUGUGUGCUGCCGCUCAAACACGCACACAGACAAAACAACUGUUGGGCUGUGAAAGACUUGUAUGUCUGCACCUAAGGAAUCCAGUCAAAUAUUGUCAGUAGGUGUAGUGGUACUAUUCACAUACUGAACAGUGUUCUGACGUUAUUUAAAAUUUCAUGUCCUUAAUUUCAUUUGAAAUAUAUAUUUUUUUAUUUUGCUGUUUAUGUUUUGCUUGUUAAUAGUUUUUAAAUUGUGUUUUUUUAGUUUUUCUAAGUGUAAACCAACGGCUGGAGUUUUCUUUAAAACAUGUAUUUUUCUGAUGUUAAAUGUUUGAUGCUCAUGUUUAAUGCACAGCAUAUUGUAAUAAUGUUACAGUAUGUAUAAUAUUACCUUGUUAAUUCCUUGUAAAAAUGGUUGAUAUAAAUUACAAGUGCGAAACUCUCUU
Molecule: long non-coding RNA, 604 nt
Organism: Hippoglossus stenolepis (Pacific halibut)
Lineage: Eukaryota; Metazoa; Chordata; Actinopteri; Pleuronectiformes; Pleuronectidae
Exons: 2
Source: RefSeq, a predicted model, not a curated record